This 61-nucleotide transfer RNA is filed under the name human gut metagenome. It matches the Rfam family "tRNA", at positions 7 to 64 of the family's 71-position model. From Rfam's summary of the family: Transfer RNA (tRNA) molecules are approximately 80 nucleotides in length. The record is from RNAcentral.
CUUAGCUCAGUUGGUAGAGCAAUUGACUCUUAAUCAAUGGGUCCAGGGUUCGAUUCCCUGA